RNAcentral lists this small nuclear RNA (107 nucleotides) under Microcebus murinus (gray mouse lemur). The record is from RNAcentral. Lineage: Eukaryota; Metazoa; Chordata; Mammalia; Primates; Cheirogaleidae.
UUGCUGGCUUUGACAGCACACAUUCUAAAAUUGAAACAAUAUAGUGAAGAUUAAUAUGGCCCCUGCAUGAGGAUGAUGUGCAAAUUCAUGAAGUGUUCCAUAUAAAA